GAUGAACACUGGCGGCGUGCCUAAUACAUGCAAGUCGAGCGAACAGACGAGGAGCUUGCUCCUCUGACGUUAGCGGCGGACGGGUGAGUAACACGUGGAUAACCUACCUAUAAGACUGGGAUAACUUCGGGAAACCGGAGCUAAUACCGGAUAAUAUAUUGAACCGCAUGGUUCAAUAGUGAAAGACGGUUUUGCUGUCACUUAUAGAUGGAUCCGCGCCGCAUUAGCUAGUUGGUAAGGUAACGGCUUACCAAGGCAACGAUGCGUAGCCGACCUGAGAGGGUGAUCGGCGACACUGGAACUGAGACACGGUCCAGACUCCUACGGGAGGCAGCAGUAGGGAAUCUUCCGCAAUGGGCGAAAGCCUGACGGAGCAACGCCGCGUGAGUGAUGAAGGUCUUCGGAUCGUAAAACUCUGUUAUUAGGGAAGAACAAAUGUGUAAGUAACUAUGCACGUCUUGACGGUACCUAAUCAGAAAGCCACGGCUAACUACGUG
This 497-nucleotide ribosomal RNA is filed under the name uncultured bacterium. RNAcentral's name for it is "partial 16S ribosomal RNA". It matches the Rfam family "Bacterial small subunit ribosomal RNA", at positions 28 to 507 of the family's 1533-position model. The record is from RNAcentral.